CUCUUCCUCUGACGUCGUCAUUGAAGAGUGCCCACCGUCAAAGACACCUACUAGCGUCGCUAAAAGGCCACGUUUGAUGUAAGAGUCGAGCAGCAGUUCUCUCAUUCUCUUCUCUUCAUAUCUCGUCUCUCUCUACCCUCUCUCUCAAACUGCCAUCACCGUUGAGGAGCGUCAGUCACUAGAGAUGUGAGAGUCAAGCAGCAGCGUGGUGCCCUCACAGUCGGCGAUGUAAGCGAUCAGUCUAUCGAUGUGAGCGAUCUAGUCACUGCUUCAUAUUGGUGGUUUUCGAAUCGAUCUGGCAAUCGAAGUUUUUGGUGUUUUUGUUCGCGAUUGCAAAUGGUAAUAGUGGCGAGUGGUGGAGUUGUUGGCGGUGAUGGUGGUGGCGAUGUGGAUCUGAGAACGAUUUUUGUGUCGUGGUGUAGGUGGAUGUGUUAACAGUGGUGGUAGCGAUCACGGUUGUGUUGGAGGUUGUGAUGGUGAUGGUGAUGACAGUGGUAGUGGUAGUGGUAGUGGUGCUAUGUACUGGUGACAGACACAUGGUGAGGGUGGUCACAAGUGCAGUGGUGGUGGUGGUGGUGGUGGUGUUGGUAGCGUGGCGUGUGACACACUAUCUAGUGUAUGUGACCAAUUAUUUGGUUAUCUAUGACCAAGUAUUAAAUUG
This 661-nucleotide long non-coding RNA is filed under the name Olea europaea subsp. europaea. Lineage: Eukaryota; Viridiplantae; Streptophyta; Magnoliopsida; Lamiales; Oleaceae. The record is from RNAcentral.